GAAAAGAAAGAAGAGAGAAAGAGAGCUUGAAAGAAAGAAACUUCAGUAUAAAGAGAGAGAGGAAGAGAAAGGGAGAGGUAGAGAAGGAGUUGUAGAGAUCAUCCUGUCUUUCUCUGUUUCAAGUAAAUUCCCUUGUCUUUCUCCAAUUUUUUGGUAUAUUUUUUCAUAGAAAUGUUUGAGCACUUGAGAUAAGAGUCUAACACCCUAUCAUGGUUUUAACUUUCAUAAAAUGUUAAGAAUACGGCACGUGUACACCGUGUUAGGAUCGAAAUCCAAAUAAAGAGCAUGUCCUGUCUUUUGUCAAAACAGUCAGUUUGUAUUUUGGGCGUAUGUCCAUCAGACUAUAACAUUUUGACUUGAUUCAAGUUGCGUAUAAAAACUAUUUCAAAUAGCUACAACUUUGAUUGAAAGUGUUUUUCCUGAUUUAGAAAUUUAAUAGUCCAAAAUAGGCUUGGAAUUCAAGCUAAGAAAACCAAUAUUAUGUUUUUUAUACAAUUGGACCGGUCGAGCUUUUUCUCAACCGAUAGAAUAUUUUCGGUGAACCUACUAUUUUUUUCUAGACCGGUUGUGUUUUUUCCCAACUAGUCGAACUUUUUCCCAAAUGAUCGAGGCUUGACAGACUCAGCUUUUAGCCAACUAUUUGCCCAAUCCUGACCCAGUCCUCUGCCAGCAUACUUAUUUUUAUUAAAAAUAUUUAAAUAAAACUCAUAAACCUUACAUUUUCUUUUACUUUAAGUUUACAAUGUAAAUAAAAAAAAUACCCCUUAUUUGGAUUCAAUAAAAAAUAUAAAAAUAUAAUUCCCAUUAAAUCAAAAAGUAAAUUUUCAGUUUUAAUACAAAAAUAAUUUUCUGUAAUUUUUUUUAAAAUGAUUCUUCUUGUUAUGGAAGAUAUACCUUAUAAUAAAAAUCUCAUAAAAUCAGUUUUGACUAUUUAAGGUAUAAAAAUAUUUACCAAAAAAAUUGUUUGAAAAAAAUAAUAUUUUAAAAUUUUAUUUUUUCACAUGUAGCCAAAUUUUGACAAAAGAUAGUUUUUCAGAAAAACUUGUCACUCUCGAUACCUUACACUCCUUCUAUCCUUAGAUUCGGUGUACUAAACGAUAGUGUAAUUAAGCAAAUAGAGUAUGCAAUAAUUACUAAAUAUUAAAUUUAAAAUUUUUAAUUAUAGAACCGGAACUUGAGGGAUAAUUACAUUAGCUUAAGAGUGAGCAUGGAAAAAAAGAACGUGAGAUAAGUAUUAGGUGAGUCUUGUUAUGUUUUACUUAUUUAAAAGUAUUUUGAGAUGAAAGCAGGUGUUAAUUGAUUUGUAAAAACGUGAUAUGUUACGCUAAAAUGCAUGCUAUGUUUUGAUUGUGCUAUGAAUUAUGAAAAAUGAUUACUUUAAAAAGUAUAUUUUAGAUGACACAUAGUUCGAACGGUAUCCUGACCACUAGAGAAAAAAAAAUAUAGCGAGAAGUGAUGUAAUAAGGGUGGGAUUAUAACCAGAUGAUUAUGGAUGAUAUCAUGUCAUAUAUAAUAUAUUAGGAUCGCUCCUUAAUGACUAGGGGAUCGUUGAACGAGUGUAUAUGUGUUACAAGAGUCAAUCAAAUAUGAUUUUGAAAUCUUGAUCUGAAAUUAAAAUAAAUGAUUGAAAUAAAAAAGAAUUGACAAAAGUAAAGUUAUUUAAUCAAGGAUAUUUGGCCUGAUGAGCCAAGGAUUUUGAUUAUAAGAUCGGCCUAGAUGAGCCAAAAUUUUGAAAAGUAAUUUCAUGUUAAAAUAAAUUGAUGUUUUAUAAUUGCAUGGACACUUGUUAGUAUUGUAUAACUUGACUCAUACUAGCCUAGUACUUAAAACAUAGUUAUAUGUAACAAUUUCAGGUAAUGAGAAUGAGGUGGAGUGAGACUGAAGGCAAGCGACCUUAGUCGAUUUUUAUUGACUUAUGUCAUACACUUAGCAUAUGAAUGUUAGUUCUUUUGAACUUUUAUAGUUUUGUUGACGGUUGUGCUAGAUAUUAUGGUAAGAACCGUAAUUAUAAAUAUUUAUAUACAUGAAGGAUGUAAUGAUAUUGUAUACUUUUCUAUAUAUGUCAACUCUGAUUAAUUUAUUACACGUCUAUAUAUAUAUAUAUAUAUAUAUAAUUGCAUUCAAAUAGUAUCAUCUUGAAUGAAAAGGAAAAUCCCUAAAGUAGUUAAGUAAUAGACCUUAGUGAGUGAUUCUCAUUGGCCGGUCACAAUAACACUUGUGAUGAGGGUGGACCCGCAUGUGUAAAUGGGUCGGGUCAUGACAAAUAGAGUGUGGGCUCUAAUAUGUGAUCUAAUUCACUCUCUCUGUACAAAAUCAUAUUAAUAUACAUAUAUAUAUAUUCAUAAUAUCUGAGUGUGUAACCUUAGAGAGUUGCGGAUGCACACAUAAAUAUAGGCUAUGGUAGAAAGCUCAAGGAGUCAAUAAGGAUUAGACUUCCUAUUAAAAUAUGAAAAUCUAAUGCAACCUGAAUUAAAUUCUUAUUUUUCAUAAAUUAUAAUUCAUCCUACUAAAGAAUUAAAAUUGUACUCCUUCCCUUAUCUCAAAAUUAUAUUUCAAACUUCAUGUGAUUAAAUGCUUAUUAAUCUCUCUGCAUUAAGAUUAUACAUACCAGUAGAUUAAAAUAAUUAUUAAAAAUUAUAAUUAAUCAAAAUCUUCAAAAAUUUCUGAGACUUUUCACUUAACUGAUUUGAUAUGUCGAAUCUAAAAUUCACAUGUAGGAUUUGAUAUAACCAAAACUUAUAAACUCCUCAAGGACAUAUCAAUCCCUAAAUUAACGUGAAUUUUGUUCAUAAUUAAUAUUCACCCUACACAUAAUGUGACCAUCCGAUUCACUAAGGCUAUGUUUGUUUGGAUGGAAUGAUUAUUCCAUUGGAGUAAUCAUUUCAGUGUUCGGUUAAUCAAAAAAUAAUGGAAUGACGGAAUAGUCAUUCCAUUUAGAAUAAUCAGUCACUAAAAUACAAGAAUGACCAUUACCUUGUGUUAAUAAAAAAAUGCAUAUUCCAUUCUUAUUCUUUACAUAAUGAGAAUGACUAUACCUACAUUAUUCCAUUCUAAUUUCCAUUCCAUUCAUUACAAAAUUCAUUCCAACUAACCAAACUCAACCUAAGUUUAUUCCAAAAAAAAUCGCACUCCAUGUGAAUAAAAAUGAUCAACAUUAAAUGCACUUAUAUAAUAACUAUUUCAGAAUUAAGAGCAUAAGGACCCAUAAUAACCAUGGGGUACUAGAUAUCUUAUAAAAUCAGUAUAAAAAUAACAUCCCUAAAAUGAUCUCGUUCAAUACACAUAAAGUGUACUAGCACAAUGAGCUAAAACUAUACCAUUUUCUAUAGAAAAGACAAACUUACUAAAACAUUGUGCUACAGUCUUACCAGUGGUAUGUCUAAUUCCAUCUAAGAUUGAGAACUAAAAACUUAUAUUUUACAAGAAUCAAUUAUUAUAUCUUCCGGGCGUAAGCCAACUAUACACACCUAAUUAACGAUUAUGUAAAAUAAAAGACACAACCACAAUAUAAAUAUUAUAUUACAAACAUUGCCCACAUAAUUUUUCAUUAAAAUAGAAUAACAAAAUUUAUUAAUAAAUAAAAUUAUACUAAGUUCCGUAAUAAAAAUGGCUUUUAGUAUAUAUAUAUAUAUCCAACAAAGCUCACGCGUGAUUGACACUACAACUGCCGCGAACAUCUCUACGAGCCCCAUCUUCAACUUUCACUCUCUAUAGCUCGCUCGCUUCGAAGGCUCACAGAUCAAUAUCAAUCUACCUCUAUAGUCUCUCUGCUUGGCUCCUGUAACGUGGUGUUGGGCAUAUAUAACUUGCACCUAGACAUGCGUUGUUGCUCCAGUUUCAACCAGUUGAAUUUAAUCAGUACGUCCAUGGAGGUAGUUCAACUAUUGAACACUUUUGUAGUGUUCCAGGAAAAGAGCAAUAUGACACUUUUAAACUGUAGAGUUUAUGAGCCAUGCACAUUGGUCUUAGGCAUAUGCAACUCGGACCAAAGGCAUAUUCGACGCUCACCCAGGGGCACACAUGAUUGCACCCUAUGUCUGACUUGCACCCCUCUAACCAUUAAAUUAUAUUUGUUUAACUAAUUAUGUUAUGCUCAAAAAUUUUAGUACUAUUAGGCAUUUGAACCCUCAUAUAAAGUUAUAGGCUUUGAAGUGACCAACACGCUAGAAGUUGAAAAUGAAUGCAAAAGCUGAUCAUGUUGAAAAGGCCCUCUGCUAUUGGGGACCUAAGUUCGGAUGCUAUUGGUCAUGUGAACCCUUAUAUGGGAUUGUGGGAUUGUAGAACUUAACUUAGGAUUUUGGCCCAUAUGAGUUGAGUUGGUCUUAGACAUAUCCAAGUUGCAUAACAUGCAUAUUCGACUUGGACUCGGGGAACACAUGAGUUGCAUCCUAGGUAUCCCAAACUUGUACCUCGUAACUAUUAAAUUGUGUUUGUUGGACUAAUUAUGUUAUACACCCAAAGUUUUAGUACUAUUGAUCAUGUGAAUUCUUACAUACGUGAAGAGAGAGAGAAAGAGUGAAAGUCGAAGACGGGGACCGCAGAGGUUUUCGCAGUGAGGCCAACGACGCUAUAGAGUCAAUCAUGCAUUAGAGAGAGAGAAAAGAAGUCUAACAUGAAAGGUGGCUAGGGUACGGACGAAUGAAGAAGAAGUAAAAGGUGCAAGUUCUACCGCCCCAGUUUUUAUGUACAUUUCAAAAUGACGUCGUUUAAGUGGGUCAGGGAUAAAAUCAUCCAACUCAUCAUGAAUUUGUUAUUAUUUACAAUUUACCACCUCCAACGAUAUUAUUUUCGAUUAGACCACUAAAUUGAUAUUAAACCUUCUUCCUUCUUCAUACCACUAAUCUAAAAAUUUUCCUAUUUAAUAUAUGUGGGUAUGUAUAGACUAUUUAGUAUAGUAGGUGGUCAUAAAUUAUCUUGUAUCUUGUUUAUCAUGUUGAAUAUUAUAUAAUUGGUAAAUGAAUUACUUUUUCUUUUAUAAUUAUUUUUUAGUGUAUUUUAUUUUAUUUUUUCAUAUUGAGAUUUGUUAGUUAAAUUCCUUUUAAAAAGCUUAAGCUGUUAUGAAAUUGACUCAAUAAUGUAUAUCAAGAUAUUUUGCCUUAUACAUGGAGAAAUAAACAUAUCUAAUUCAAUAAGAUAUGUCGUCACAAAAGAAUUUAAUGCUCAAAUAAAAUAAAUAAGUACGAAAAAACAUGACCUAAUGAAAAUAGAAUUUGUAACUUUAUAAAAAAUACAACUCUUCUACUUGAAUUCUCGUUCUACUCUAAUUUCACAAACGUAACUACUUGUUUUUUCAUUAUAAUCUAAGUACGAUUGGUCACUAACUUUGUUGUCAUGGGUUUGAAAUUAAUUUCUAUUGUGCAAAUGUACAUCUUAUUUAAUUCAUAAUUAAGUGAUAUGUGAUUGGUCACCAACUUUGAUGUCAUGAGUUAAAAAUUUCUUUUUACGAUUCAUCCAAUUACAAUGACCAAGAUUUUCUGUAACGACUCAUUCUAUUUUUCUCUCUAUCAUAAUGAGCCGUUAAUAAUCGUCAAUCGUUUAUAUACAAAUAAUAGUGCUAUUUUUUCUCAAACUUAAAUUAGUCUCCAAAUAUUUAUUUAUACAAUGUCUCCUAACAAAUUUAAUACAAAACUAUCAAAAGUUUUCAAAUUUUUUAUCUGACUCAUCUCGUACUACCCGAUUCUCACGUUAGCCUGAAAAAUUAUUUUAAGCAAGGAAGUGUAUAAUACAAUAGGAAUAUGCUCAAUUCAAUUUACAGCUCAACAACAAAUCUAGAAGAGUUCAACGAAUCAUCAAAUCGUGAAGGAUAUUUUAAAAAAUACUUCGGAAUUUAAAAAAUAUAUUAUAUACUGCUACUUAUCUCAAAUUAAAAUCGACAUCAUUAGAUAUGUUUCUAUGUCCGUCAUAAACAACAUACUAAAAUUUUAUCUCGAUCGGAUAUCAUUUCACCGUUAAUUCUAUGUUUUGUUUCUCAUGAUCAUAUUUGAUUACACCA
Molecule: long non-coding RNA, 5992 nt
Filed under: Actinidia chinensis (golden kiwifruit)
Lineage: Eukaryota; Viridiplantae; Streptophyta; Magnoliopsida; Ericales; Actinidiaceae
Description: long non-coding RNA (ACHI_LNC007953)
Source: RNAcentral